Canis lupus familiaris (dog) is the source of this 816-nucleotide long non-coding RNA. RefSeq lists it as uncharacterized. NCBI's taxonomy places the organism in Eukaryota, Metazoa, Chordata, Mammalia, Carnivora, Canidae. The transcript is spliced from 5 exons. The record is from RefSeq and is a predicted model, not a curated record.
CAGGUCUGCUUAACGUAGAGCAUGGAGUCGACAUCUUGGGAGUGUCAAAGAGGGGUACAGCUCCUCCCCUUCUCCGUUAGGCAUUUCCAACCGGGAGCUCGAGCUUGUACUUAACUGAUGCGGUGUGCCGAGCCGCGAGGAGUCAGGGAAGGACUAAAUAAUAAUGAAUUAGCAGAUAAAUCAGACUUUAUCCCCUAGAUCCUCUAAAAGAUUCCUAGAAGGGUGGACAAGGGCCCUGGCCAGUCACCCACAGCCGAGACCCCAGGGCAUCCAGCAGACGCUGUAGCCGGAACACCGCAAUCCCCAAGGAUGGGCCCUCUUCGAACUGGAUCACAGACAGCUCCAGCCGGAAGCACCCCAGAGUCUCAGCAGGACACACCUGUGGGGACAGAGUGACUUGGUAUUGGAGACAGCAGCAAACAAAAUCUAUUUGAAGGCUGGGAGCUGGGUCAGCAGCUGGACAGCCAAACACCAGCCCUACUGCCUCCUGCCGCCAACAUGUAUUCUGAGCUAGUGGAUUCUCCCUAAAUUUCCAACGCCUGGUGCAUCAGGCAGCAUAAGAGUGUGUGAGUACGUGAAUCCCAUGGCCUGUCUUCUCAUUGGAAAACACCCCUGCUAGGCUUUAUCUGUGUUUGCAGUCUCCACCUUCCAGGUGCAAAGUGAGUCACCACAGCCCUUUGAACCUUGGACUUCAGGGACGCCUGGAUGGCUCAGCGGUUGGGUGUCUGCCUUCGGCUCAGGUCCUGAUCCUGGGAUCUGGGAUCCAGUCUCGCAUCAGGCUCUUUGUGGGGAGCCUGCUUCUCCCUCUGCCUGUGU